This 572-nucleotide long non-coding RNA is filed under the name Brachypodium distachyon (stiff brome). Its description in RNAcentral is "long non-coding RNA (BDIS_LNC005049)". Lineage: Eukaryota; Viridiplantae; Streptophyta; Magnoliopsida; Poales; Poaceae. The record is from RNAcentral.
UCUGGAUAGGUAUGGCAUGACCAAUUAGGCAAAUUAGUGACUAGGAGUUGCUCCACUUCUUCGUUUUGUAUUACAUCGCCCUUUUUUGCAUGACCAGUUAGCCAAAUUAGCGACUGGGUGUUUCUAGCAAUGCAUGAAAAAUUGACAACUAUUUAGCAAAUUACAUCUCCUUCUUUUCUUGUAUAGGUGUUUUUGCCAAGGAUUUGUACAAAUGAUAUGAGUAACAUGAAGCAAAAUCAGAAGAUGUACUACACGAUAUGAAACAAUGCUCAUAUUAACCCAUCAGUACAUGUGUUUUUCGGUGUUCUUUUUGCCAAGGAACAAAGCUGUGGCGGGCACAUCAUGUGACCAGAAAGUCCACAGUAUGUAGUAAUGUUUCUUCUUUGUAGCUUCCAGCAACAGGUUAAUGCUUUUGCUUGUAAAAGGGGAGGGUCCACGGACAGUUCAGGGACUGCCUUUUGGUUUUGUAGUGAACAUAUCAAAGCACCAUAAGAUGCAUCUUUUAUUUUUCUGAUCAAAGGGUCUGCAACACUAAAUUUUCUCUUAAUUUGCUUUUGCUGACUCAAAUUUCU